CCUUAAUUCAUUUCAACAAAUACCACUUGGUGAAACAUGUAUCAACUUACAUUAAAGUCCUAUAAAUUGCUUUGAAGUUUAUGAUGACAUAGGAUUUGAAUUAUGUAAUAUUAUACCUGUAUUAGUUUUCAAUUGAGCCAUUUAGUUAUAAAAAAAAAUAUAGCAAAAUUAAGAUUUACAUAAUAUAGGGUUUGGAUUAUGUAAAAUAAAGUGAUACAAUUUAUAUUAUUCCUUUAAGAAAUUGGGCUUAAUUAAAAAUUAAAAUUGAAUGUGCAUCUAGGGUUUUCAAUUUAUUGUAGGAUAUUAAAAUCAAACUUCAAGCACGAUCAAUUUUCCCUGCCACAAUUGCCAUGUUAAUAAUACGGUCAUUGUACUAGGAUCAAUCAUCAUGUCUGUUCCUUGUAGCAUGACCCAGCAUGGCGAGGCAGAGCCAGAAGAGUUUCUUUGUGUCACAAACAGCUUUAAUGCUGUUCGGUUUUUCUUUUGUGACCAUUUCUGUCACAGACUUUAUACGAACUUAACAAAAUUGAACCUUAUGAGCAGAUGAAAAAUGCUUAGCUGCUGCUACCAUUGCCUCCUCUGGCCUGAAGGGUGCCGAGUUACUCGGAGACCUAGGCUUAUCAUCAGUUCUUGAAGAGCCACGGAGGAAGGAAAACACCCACCUUGAAAAGGCGGCACGCCAACUGAUCCCAUCUCUCUUCUUGCCUCCCAUCUUUGCUCAAGACUGCUGUACCUUGAUCAAUCUCGAAUUGAACAACAGGCGGCUAGAUAGCUACUGAACAGUAAAUAAUUAAUAUGUUUUCUUGGCAGGCUGUGUUUUUCUGGGUUGUAGAUGAACAACAGCAUUGCUCCUUUAUAUAUAUCUGAAAAUUCUUGAUGGACACGCCUAUAUUGGAAGGGAGUUUCAGGUGAAACGUGUUCUCUUGUUGACCAAGGCACAAACAGAUGGGGUGUAUGUACUCUGUGUCUUCCC
This 973-nucleotide long non-coding RNA is filed under the name Populus trichocarpa (black cottonwood). RNAcentral describes it as "long non-coding RNA (PTRI_LNC001218)". Lineage: Eukaryota; Viridiplantae; Streptophyta; Magnoliopsida; Malpighiales; Salicaceae. The record is from RNAcentral.